Molecule: long non-coding RNA, 2176 nt
Organism: Lycium ferocissimum
Lineage: Eukaryota; Viridiplantae; Streptophyta; Magnoliopsida; Solanales; Solanaceae
Exons: 5
Source: RefSeq, a predicted model, not a curated record
CUCAAUCUCAAAAAAUCUUUCCGUACUGUUUCUCUCGCUCUCUCAGUAGCUCUAGAAGAAUUAGUUUUUUCCUCUUCUGUUCCAGAUUUUCAAGGACGGCUCUUUGCUUUCUCAUCUGGGUGUUGCAAUUUUGACUACUAAAUCCUCCGUUAAAUUUGCCAAACUACAUUGGUUAGGCCGAAAGCAACAUCACAACUCAAAAUCCUUCAAUAUAACUACGCAAAGCGAGAAACAUAAGAAAGAAGAAGUUUUUUGAGGAACUGCUAUGGAUAGAGGGGGAAGAGGAGAAACAAAGAUCAUUGCUCAACGCCUUUCAAUAGACGUGAGCCGAGGAAGAAGCAUCUCAAAAAACGCAAAACGAUGUUUGUGAUCCAAAGGAUAUAUUCAAUUGCUAUGCAAAGAGCUGGUAAUCAAUAAAGUGAUUUCCUUGAACUUGUCUAUAUGUUACCUAAGUUGUGAAAAUCAUGGAGGUUCCUAAGAACUCUUUAGAGCUUUCAAACUGAUGAAGCCUUUGCGCUGGGAAAAAUAGUUUUCCCCAUAAGUUAUUGCUUAUACAACUUUAUCUGAAGGAUAUGACAGAGAUGCCCCACUUGUUACGGCUUUAAACAGUUUCCUUCAGAGAUGAUACAAAUAGAAGUAAGUGUGAAUGAGGUAAUUAAAAAUUUCAGUCAUAAUGUUAUACCAAUUAAGGCUCUGUUGCUUUUCCUGGGAAUGGAGAUGAGACAAGCAGAAGGAAGAGUAUAAGGUAAGACACUUUUUAUUCAUUAUUUCUUUAUCUUUAUUAUUAGGAAAGCUAUAUAUGCCUAUUAUUAUGAUUGAGGUAUAAAUAUAAUGGCCUGCAAACUCUCUGACUUUCAUGAAGCAAAAUAAUGAUUUCCAACUUCACUGAUGUCCAAUCAAAUAUAUACGUAUAUUACAAGUUUGAAUUGAUAUAGACCUUGAGAUUUUAAGUAGCAUGAACUUGCGGCUUUUUAUGUUGUUUGAAACUUCACGGUUAGAAAACAAAUGGCUUAUUGUGGAAUUUUUUUUUUUUUUUAAUUGUUCAACUCUACUUACUUAUCUAUAGUAAUUUAAAUAUUAGUUAUCUCAAUGGAUACUAAUUUGAUUCUUCAUAUUAGCGUAAAUUAGAGACUGAGAGGACUCAAGAUUUGCUUUUUUCAAGGAAAUUACUUAAAAGAAGUUGAAAGAUACGUACUCAAUGACUGCGAAGGUCUACCUUUAAAAUGAAAUUUUGUGUUACUUUAAUUUAGAUAUGCAUAUAUAGGCUUAUCUUAUCAUUAUACUUGACUUCUACUGAUGCUUAGGUGUGAUAAAGACUCUUAAUGAGAUAGUCUCCCUAUUACCAUAUUCAGAGCAUAAGGACAUAAUGCAUCUCAUACCAUACUUUCAUCUAACAUCUGUAUAAGUAGAGUGAUCAAAUGUUUGAACCUUCUCUCUGUAAGAAUACUUUUCCUUUGUCUUGAAACCAUAUACCUAACUUCUGUCAAUAAUUUAAUAAGAAUGAUGCUGAUAGUGAAAUAAAUUGCUAAUGGUUGGCCAAAAGAACAAUAGAUAAUAUUUUCAUAUUCUACUUUUAUUGCACAUCACUCUUAAUAUGUGUUGCUUUUUGGAACUCAGUGUUUAACAUUAGAUAAUGCAUUCGAAGUAUUUGACAUGGUUAGUGGCAGAGCCAGAAUUUUCAAAUCAUGGUUGGUCAAAUGCGUUAAAUCUCAAAAUGCUACUUUGAGAUUGGCUGCUCAACCAAUAAUUUUUGUAUGUUAGUAAUAAUUUCCAAUAAAAAAGGUAGUGUUUGAUAAACCACAAUGGGUGCUCAAGCACGCACUAGCUACACUGUAUGUCCGCCACUAGAUAUGGUUAUGUCUUACUACUAAUUGUUCAUGGCUUAUGCCAUAUCAAAAUAGCCAACCCUGACCCAUCAGAUCUCCUAUGUAACAUGUUAUGACUCUUAAUAUUUCUUUAAUGAACUUCUCAUGGCUUCGGUUAUCAAAAUUUUCUGAUCCAUAACUUUAAACUUUUUGUUGUCUCUUAUCAAAUUGAAUCUAAACAUAUUUGUUUGUUGUUUCUUUUUUUGUGACUUAUUAUCUUAACCAUGUGUAUGAAAAGACGACGGAUCCGAAAAUUUUGAAAUGGAAGCAGUUGAAAGAUGUUUUGAUAAGCUCACCUCUGAAGCUAUAUC